This 791-nucleotide ribosomal RNA is filed under the name uncultured bacterium. Its description in RNAcentral is "bacterial SSU rRNA". It matches the Rfam family "Bacterial small subunit ribosomal RNA", at positions 8 to 798 of the family's 1533-position model. The record is from RNAcentral.
AGAGUUUGAUCCUGGCUCAGGAUGAACGCUAGCGGCAGGCUUAACACAUGCAAGUCGAGGGGUAGAGGUUGCUUGCAACCUUGAGACCGGCGCACGGGUGCGUAACGCGUAUGCAACCUACCUUUUACAGAGGGAUAGCCCAGAGAAAUUUGGAUUAAUACCUCAUAGUAUAUAUCUUUCGCAUGUUAGGUAUAUUAAAGUUCCAACGGUAAAAGAUGGGCAUGCGUCCUAUUAGCUAGAUGGUAAGGUAACGGCUUACCAUGGCUACGAUAGGUAGGGGUCCUGAGAGGGAGAUCCCCCACACUGGUACUGAGACACGGACCAGACUCCUACGGGAGGCAGCAGUGAGGAAUAUUGGACAAUGGGCGCAAGCCUGAUCCAGCCAUGCCGCGUGCAGGAAGAAGCAUCUAUGGUGUGUAAACUGCUUUUGUACAGGAAGAAACAUCCCGACGUGUCGGGACUUGACGGUACUGUAAGAAUAAGGAUCGGCUGACUCCGUGCCAGCAGCCGCGGUAAUACGGAGGAUCCAAGCGUUAUCCGGAAUCAUUGGGUUUAAAGGGUCCGUAGGCGGUUUGGUAAGUCAGUGGUGAAAGCCCGCAGCUCAACUGUGGAACGGCCAUUGAUACUGCCAGACUUGAAUUACAAGGAAGUAACUAGAAUAUGUAGUGUAGCGGUGAAAUGCUUAGAUAUUACAUGGAAUACCAAUUGCGAAGGCAGGUUACUACUUGUGGAUUGACGCUGAUGGACGAAAGCGUGGGGAGCGAACAGGAUUAGAUACCCUGGUAGUCCAA